CCUACGGGAGGCUGCAGUGGGGGAUAUUGCACAAUGGGGGAAACCCUGAUGCAGCGACGCCGCGUGAGUGAAGAAGUUUUUCGGUAUGUAAAGCUCUAUCAGCAGGGAAGAAAAACGACGUUACCUGACUACGCCGCCCCGGCUACCUACGUGCCAGCAGCCGCGGUAAUCCGUGGGGGGCAAGCGUUAUCCGGAUUUACUGGGUGUAAAGGUAGCGGAGACGGCAAUACAAGUCGGAAGUGAAAUACCCGGGCUCAACCUGGGAACUGCUUUGGAAACUGUAUGGCUAGAGGGCUGGAGAGGUAAGCGGAAUUCCGAGUGUAGCGGUGAAAUGCGUAGAUAUUAGGAGGAACACCAGGGGCGAAGGCGGCUUACUGGACAGUAACUGACGUUGAGGCUCGAAAGCGUGGGGAGCAAACAGGAUUAGAUACCCGAGUAGUC
Molecule: ribosomal RNA, 441 nt
Filed under: uncultured bacterium
Lineage: Bacteria
Description: partial 16S ribosomal RNA
Rfam family: Bacterial small subunit ribosomal RNA
Source: RNAcentral